This 345-nucleotide ribosomal RNA is filed under the name uncultured bacterium. RNAcentral describes it as "bacterial SSU rRNA". It matches the Rfam family "Bacterial small subunit ribosomal RNA", at positions 8 to 334 of the family's 1533-position model. The record is from RNAcentral.
AGGGUUUGAUUAUGGCUCAGGAUGAACGCUGGCGGCGUGCCUAACACAUGCAAGUCGAACGGAGUUAUUUUGGAAAUCUCUUCGGAGAUGGAAUCUUUAACUUAGUGGCGGACGGGUGAGUAACGCGUGAGCAAUCUGCCUUUAAGAGGGGGAUAACAGUCGGAAACGGCUGCUAAUACCGCAUAAAGCAUCAAAUUCGCAUGUUUUUGAUGCCAAAGGAGCAAUCCGCUUUUAGAUGAGCUCGCGUCUGAUUAGCUAGUUGGCGGGGUAACGGCCCACCAAGGCGACGAUCAGUAGCCGGACUGAGAGGUUGAACGGCCACAUUGGGACUGAGACACGGCCCAG